Long non-coding RNA from Leucoraja erinaceus (little skate), 1163 nucleotides. RefSeq lists it as uncharacterized. NCBI's taxonomy places the organism in Eukaryota, Metazoa, Chordata, Chondrichthyes, Rajiformes, Rajidae. The transcript has 3 exons. The record is from RefSeq and is a predicted model, not a curated record.
AACCCAGUAGGUGACAGGCAACACACCCAAAAGGAUUCUUGUUUUUGAUGACAGAGGAUUAUUUUUUGGACAAUCUUUCUUCUACAUCCCUCAUCUGCCUGAGUAACCCUUGGUUACAGAGAUCUGAGAUAAAAAUAUUUCCAGCUGACAUUCGGACCUGUGUCAGUUUGUGAUUAACAUGCCCAGGAUACACGGUGUCUUGGCUGUAUGGGUUCAGAACAGGCUUACUCAUAGAAGACAGGGAGCUGUGUUGGAAGGAAGAUAUUCUGGCUGGAGAUUGUGACCAGUGAAGUUCUGCAGGGAUCUGCUCUGGAACCUCUGCUGUUUGUGAUAUAUAUAUAUAAUCAAUGACGUGGACAUAAAUGUAGAUUCAGAUUCAGAUUCACAUUCAUGGGUUGGCGAGUAAGUUUUCUGACAACAUCAAAGCUGGAGGAGCUGCAGACAGUGAGAAAGUCUGUCAGAAGAUACAGCCGGAUAUCGAUGCACUGCAAAAAAUGGGCAGAGAAAUAGCAAAUGGAGUUUAACCCAAGUGGAAAUGACAACAACUAGAGGACAUUGCUUUAAGGAGAGCUUCCAUUAAACCUGGGGCACAGGGAAACUGCAAUACAAAAAUGAAUGAAGUGAAGGAGUACAUGCUGAAAGAUGCAUAAUUCAAUCCCAUCUCAGGAUUAUACAGUAUUUGGAAAAUUAUCGAAUUACAAUGUAUGGACCCUGAAAUUAAAUUGUCAAUAGAAAAAUAAAGUUAAUGUGACUUGUUUGCUGAUCUUUCAUCUGAACCUCAUGGCAUCCUUUGGAAUGGAUGUGCUCUGAAAAGUGGAUACCCAAUCUUAGUUGGACUUUUUACUGUAGAGAAGACGACAUUGCAAUAUAACGCCAAAGAAAUUCCGUGCCUGUGUACCAUUCCGUUGUGUGGCACUUUUCAUGUUCAACCACUGAAAAUGCAACACCUGUCUUUCACCUUUGGUCUGUGUCUGGCCCUGUAAGAAUUUUAAAGUUUUCUGCGAGAUCCACUCCCUUCAGUACUUUAUAUUCACUGUACCAUACUGGACAGUGCAAUAUUCACUUUACUUCAGUGAAUACUGACCUAAUCAACCAAAUCUCCCAUCAGUACUGUCACCUCAGGAACAAGUCGAGUGGAAACAAAACUCCAGAUCACCUAGGCU